This 119-nucleotide ribosomal RNA is filed under the name Pteropus alecto (black flying fox). Lineage: Eukaryota; Metazoa; Chordata; Mammalia; Chiroptera; Pteropodidae. The record is from RNAcentral.
GUCUAUGGCCAUGCCACCCUGAACAAGCCUGAUCCCGUCUGAUCUCAGAAGCUAAGCAGGGGCGGGCCUGGUUAGUACUUGGAUGGGAGACCACCUAGGAAGACCAGGUGCUGUAGGCG